AUUCCAGUUCCUGGGGGAGCACGUUAGCUGCAAGGACAGGGUGUGGUUUCUCUGUCUGCUUGGGGCACCUUCCAGGAAAAAGGCAGUGCGGUUCUUGGCCGGAAAAGUAAAGCUUCCCAGAACUGUAAAGGCAACCGCAGUCAUUCUGAAAUACACAAUGGAUUCUGCUUUCUGCUGGAAACACAUACUUUGGGAUGAAAUCUCACCAGGCGAGAGAUGGGCUCCAACCGCAAGGGAUGGACGAGCUGAGAGAUUGCGGCUCAGACUCUGGGUCUCGCUGUCUGCUGGGCUGGGCACAUCCCCUGCCCCGUGCCCUCCCGUGUAGGCACAGGAGCGAGCCUGCUGAGGGUCAGUGGGGAAUGGGGUACAGUCGAUCUAAAAGCAAGUUUCUUUAUAUACGAAGACGGACAUGUGAGAAAGGAUUCUGUGUGCUCAAAGUGAAUCAAGUCCCACCUAAACAGAAGCUCGGGAGAUACGAAUGUCUCGGGGAGGCAUUUGGUCCAGCUGAUGGCUGCUGCUGCUGCUGCUGCUGCUAAGUCGCUUCAGUCGUGUCUGACUCUGUGCAACCCCAUAGACGGCAGCCCACCAGGCUCCCCCGUCCCUGAGAUUCUCCAGGCAAGAACGCUGGAGUAGGUUGCCAUUUCCUUCUCCAAUGCAUGAAAGGGAAAGUGAAAGUGAAGUUGCUCAGUCGUGUCCGACUCUUAGCGACCCCUUGGACUGCAGCCCACCAGGCUCCUCCUCCAUCCACGGGAUUUUCCAGGUGAAAGUACUGGAGUGGGGUGCCAUUGCCUUCUCCUAAUGAUGGCUGGGCCACAGCAAACAAGUCGAUGGAGGAAGAAUACUUGGUGUAGAGUGACGGUGAAACAAACUUGGCAAUGACGGACCUUACGACAGUAGCCACCUGCUGGACAUUUCCUGUGGCUGAGAACUUUUCGAGUGGUCAUCAGCCAUCAGUCCCCACUUCUACCUUAUGCCGGGGGCCCAUCCACAUCCAGACCUGACUGAUCUGUCCUCUCUUCCUGCCUCAGCUGCCCAUUCCUCUGUCCAGCCACUCGGCUUUUGUCCAUUAAAUUAUUUGUGUAACUUUUUCAUGAGUCAUAACACCCCUGAGGCAAGUUGCCUGUGCUGGCAGUUCAUUUAUUAGAGUUGACUAGAGUUUAUAAGAGUUGUGCCGAUUUCAUGUGUAUUUUGGAAUGAUUUUGAACCAUUUUGUAGAAUCUCAUCUCCAAAUAAGCCACAUGAAAUUUUGAACGAGACCAUGUUGGAUGUGUUUUAUACACUUUAAUGAAAUCUUUAAAAAACCUUCAAAAGAUCUUGUGUGUUCUUUGUUGGACUAGUUUAUCUAAAAUGGGUUGUCAUUUUAGUAAAUUAUACUUCUUUUUAGGAUCAACAUUGUAGUUGGCUAUUGCUCCCACUGAGGCCCACAGCUAAGUGACGCUAAGUUGACCUUGCAUCUGAGAAGCCU
Molecule: long non-coding RNA, 1465 nt
Organism: Bos taurus (domestic cattle)
Lineage: Eukaryota; Metazoa; Chordata; Mammalia; Artiodactyla; Bovidae
Source: Ensembl